GUAAAAAACCAGGGCUGAAAUCAAUCAGCAGACAAAGCCAAGUGGAUUUCUGCACAUCUAAAGGCAGGAAAAGAAAUAGCACAAGAUCCUCUCAGUGCUGCAGAGAGGAGGAUUUUACUGCUGCUGAGCAAAGGCUGUGUGCAGCAUCUCCACAUGCCGGCAAAGGUGGGAUGACCCAGUGGCUGGAGCAGAAAGAAUAUCUUGGAUUAGGUGGCUGCAAAUGAGAGGUUUCAGUCAUGGAAUGGGAUGAGCUGCAGCUUGUGGCUGUUCAAGCUCAGCAGUGCUAAAACGUGACAUGGGCUCGCAGAGGACACGUGCAGCCCGUGGAGUGAACUGCAACCUGAACAGCUCUCCCAGCAGCUGAGGCUCCGUGUCCUUCUAGUAAUAAAUUCCUCCUGGACAGUGUUUCA
This 410-nucleotide long non-coding RNA is filed under the name Zonotrichia albicollis (white-throated sparrow). RNAcentral's name for it is "lncRNA (ENSZALG00000017418.1)". Lineage: Eukaryota; Metazoa; Chordata; Aves; Passeriformes; Passerellidae. The record is from RNAcentral.